Bos taurus (domestic cattle) is the source of this 164-nucleotide non-coding RNA. NCBI's taxonomy places the organism in Eukaryota, Metazoa, Chordata, Mammalia, Artiodactyla, Bovidae. The record is from Rfam.
GGCCUUUCUUAGUUGGUGGAGCAAUUUGUCUGGUUAAUUCCGAUAACAAACGAGACUCUGGCAUGCUAACUAGUUACGCGACCCCCGAGCGGUCAGCGUCCCUCAACUUCUUAGAGGGACAAGUGGUGUUCAGCCACCCGAGAUUGAGCAAUAACAGGUCUGUG